Molecule: transfer RNA, 75 nt
Filed under: Mesorhizobium sp. M8A.F.Ca.ET.021.01.1.1
Lineage: Bacteria; Pseudomonadati; Pseudomonadota; Alphaproteobacteria; Hyphomicrobiales; Phyllobacteriaceae
Description: tRNA-Thr
Rfam family: tRNA
About the family: Transfer RNA (tRNA) molecules are approximately 80 nucleotides in length.
Source: RNAcentral
GCCCUUGAAGCAUUGGUGGUGAUGCAGCCGCCUUGUAAGCGGACGAUGCGGAUUCGAACGCCGCAUGGGGCUCCA